RNAcentral lists this ribosomal RNA (332 nucleotides) under uncultured bacterium. Its description in RNAcentral is "bacterial SSU rRNA". It matches the Rfam family "Bacterial small subunit ribosomal RNA", at positions 568 to 898 of the family's 1533-position model. The record is from RNAcentral.
UGCGUAGGCGGCUGGGUAAGUCGCGUGUGAAAGCCCGGGGCUCAACCCCGGAGCUGCAUGCGAGACUGCCUGGCUCGAGCGCGGUAGAGGCGGGCGGAAUUCCUGGUGUAGCGGUGGAAUGCGUAGAGAUCAGGAAGAACACCGGUGGCGAAGGCGGCUCGCUGGGCCGUUGCUGACGCUGAGGCACGAAAGCGUGGGGAGCAAACAGGAUUAGAUACCCUGGUAGUCCACGCCCUAAACGAUGGACACUAGGCGUCGGGGGGAGCGACCCUCCCGGUGCCGUCGCUAACGCAAUAAGUGUCCCGCCUGGGGAGUACGGCCGCAAGGCUGAA